CACACACACACACACACAUACACACAUACACACAUACUCCCCAUACCUCCCACCCUUGGUUACCAACAGGAUGUAAAUCCAAAAUGACUGCUAUGUAACUGGUUUCUGUGCAUUAGUCCUGCAGUGUUAGCCGAUCGCCAAAUCACAAACACAGGAGUUCAGUGGUCUGCGUGGGGAAUGUGAAAUACCUGUACUUUUGGGUAGUAGGAGCUGCUGAACGUGUCAGGUAUUAGGGUGACUGCCUCAGAACUUCAUCAGGUAUCAGAGCAACUACCUCGGCGCUACAUCAGGUAUCAGCGUAACUGCCAAGGUACUAUGUCAGGUAUCAGCGUAACUGCCAAGGUACUAUGUCAGGUAUCAGCGUAACUGCCAAGGUACUAUGUCAGGUAUCAGCGUAACUGCCAAGGUACUAUGUCAGGUAUCAGCGUAACUGCCAAGGUACUAUGUCAGGUAUCAGCGUAACUGCCAAGGUACUAUGUCAGGUAUCAGCGUAACUGCCAAGGUACUAUGUCAGGUAUCAGCGUAACUGCCAAGGUACUAUGUCAGGUAUCAGCUUGACUGCCUCAGAGCUGCAUCAGGUAUCAGCGUAACUGCCAUGGCACUACGUCAGGUAUCAGCGUAACUGCCAUGGCGCUACGUCAGGUAUCAGCGUAACUGCCAAGGCACUACGUCGGGUAUCAGCGUAACUGCCUCGGCGCUGUGUCGGGUAUCAGCGUAACUGCCAAGGCACUACGUCGGGUAUCAGCGUAACUGCCAAGGCGCUACGUCAGGUAUCAGCUUGACUGCCUCAGAGCUGUAUCAGGUAUCAGCUUGACUGCCUCAGAGCUGCGUCGAGUAUCAGCGUAACUGCCAAGGCACUACGUCGGGUAUUAGCAUAACUGUCUCACCGCUGCGCCAGGUAUUUGAGUAACUGCCCCAGGAGUGGCGCUGCUGUUGAGCUAUUCUGUAAGUAAAUAAAAUGAUAAAUUGAGAGUAAUGAAGAUGGGGCAUCAUAUCAGGAUGAAGGGCUUCUUUUGACUUUUCUGCCAUUUCCCCGGCAGCCCCAAAUUAAAUCUGUCUUCCAUGAGAGUCGAUGACUAACUGCAUUACAGCCAGGUUUGGAUCUGUGUAAUCAGCCAAUCAGGGUUGACUGGCUCUGAGAAACCUCUCCUAUCAGGUCAGAUGUAGGAGGUCUCUCAGACCCAAUCAGGACUGGCAGGAUAGGUCUCUCACACAAAGCAGCUCCUCUCUUCUCAGAUCAUUUUUCACUUCUUGGUUUUGUGCAAUUUUGGUAAAUGCUCUGGCUCUAUGACCAGGGGGUGGGGCUUAUGAUUUAUGGGCUGGUGAUUGGUCAGUGCCCUCCCAGGCAUUCCUUGUGGCAGUGAUGGCUUCCCGGGAAUGUGGUUUGUUACUGAUUAACGUUAAUGAGUGUCAGGAACUGCCACCAUGACAGGGAGGCAUUUCACAACGCUGUUCUAUGAGCUCCUUUAAAUAUGACUGUUCUCCUCCUGGAGGCUGUUCUCUUUAUCGCAGAGACAAGAAUUGCUGCAUUAAAUGAGUUUUUAAAAGGUCUUCGUCAGCAUUUUGAGGUUGACUGUAUUGUUUUUGGUGGACAUAUGGUUUUUUACAGUAUGCGGAGCUGUUUGAGGUGAAAAAGGAAAGUUUUAUGACUGUCUCAAGUAUUUUGCCUAAGUUUACGUUCUCGCACACCAAUGUGACCAAAUCUCAGAGAGUCAAUUUAUAAAUGCACACAGCAGGCUGUGCUUCUGAAGGAGGUCUGAAAUUGCAAUUUAAAAAAAGGUUUAUUCCUUAAGCCCCACUGCUAAGUGUUUAAUGCUGUUAGUGUGUCCUGAUAUGGAAGACUGUCUGCCCUUUCCUCAGUAAUUCAGGAAUUCAUAUUGACACUUCCCGUUCGGAGAUAAAUCAGCUGAAAA
Long non-coding RNA from Brienomyrus brachyistius, 1913 nucleotides. RefSeq lists it as uncharacterized. The transcript is spliced from 3 exons. The record is from RefSeq and is a predicted model, not a curated record. NCBI's taxonomy places the organism in Eukaryota, Metazoa, Chordata, Actinopteri, Osteoglossiformes, Mormyridae.